UGUGGUUUGCUGUAUUCAAUUGGUCAGAAAAGGGGUUAAUUUCCAGGCAGAGCUGUCUUAGGGAGUCAAAAGUUAAACUUUUUAUAUGCAUGCAUGAUCCCAGCUGUUCUUAGAACAAAACACAUUGCCGAAUGACUUGCUGCUGCUGACGCUGCCUUUUAGCACAGCAGUCAGCUGGAUUCCUUAGACUUCCUGAAUUUGAUUUGAGUUAUUAAUAAAGGAUUAUUACAGGCUGAGAUAUACGUCAUACAUCAUAGUCUUAAACCCUCCAUUAUUAAGGUGCUAUGUCAUGAUUGCUUUCAAUUGUGCUGAUUUUUCAACAAAGUUUUUAGUAAUAUGAUGCAUAUUGUUUGCUAAAAUAGUAUUGUCAGUUAGCAUCCUCAAAUUGCAUUAGACAUUUACACAAACAGGAAUAUGUAUCAGAAACUAUUGGUCCAACUGAGCAGAUUUUUUGUCUUCUCCCAUUAAACCCCCAUCUAAACAUGUUUCCCCGUAAUUUUUAUUAUUUUAUUAUUAUGCCUGUUUUACGCUCACUCUGAUAACACUGGACAGGAAAAGGGGAGAUCCAUCUUCUCGUCGAGCUAUCUAUUUUCAGCAGCGCACUGAUUUCGAAAGUGGUGAACCAGAGUUUCUAGAUUUGAAAUAAAAUGAGUUCCAGACAGGCUGAGGUUGAAGAAAGGGGCCAGGGUUCCACUGAUUUGAACGACGGAAGACCUGAAACGGAUGGAAGCCUGAAACGGAACAAUGCAAUGGAAUUACCGGAGAUGACCGCUGAUGAUUGAGUUCUUUUACUGUCCCGUGAGUCCCUGACUCCUUCACACUCAGCAGGCGUACUGGUCUAACCGAAAGUGUCCGUGUGUUUUAUGCUAACACCACGGGUAUGUUGAAGUGGCAUCUUUUUUUUUUUUUUUUUGGGAAACUAAUAAGAAAUGGGAAUGGAAAAUGAAAAUACAGCUGUACUGAACAAUGGCCAUGGCACACGGGUGCCAUAAAUGGUAAAACUUUAAAAAAAAUUGCUUAUGCUGCAAGGUAUACCAGUGUUUUUGAAUGUGUAGAAACAUUGUGCUCUCCAUAACAAGUUGAAAGGAGUGUGCACCUCUUCCAGCAACCACCACAAAGGUCAUCGUUGUAUUGAUUCCAACACCCUCAUUAUUUUGGCCGUGCGCCCACCAAACAAUCCCCAAGGGUAUCCGCACAACACUUUGGGCCGUUUCAAGAAAUCCAUGAAGCACUGAAUUAAAAUGUUCCUGUCCUGCAUUUUCAAAAACACUGGGACAGUGAUAGUGAAAAAAAAAAAAAAAAAACUAGAUGCAAGCUGGCACUAUAAGUGCAGUGAAAUUGUCUGCCUGCAUGGGCUGAGGUGUGCACAGAAGAGCAGUUAUCAAAACUUCUCAGAUUCAGUAUUUGUUCAUUAUUCAGUAGGUGCUCAUUGGUGCUCUCUCACCUGUCAAUUAAACGCAGGAUGCUUUCCCCUGAAGCAUUGGGCUCCCCAAAGUCCCUCCCCCACCCCUGGCUUCCUGUUCUUCUUGUUAACCCCACAUUUAGCGAGUUUGUUUGCUCCUGCCUUAGCUAGGCUUCCCAGGCAUUUGUCAGACUUGCUUUGUUCAACCAUCUUUACCUGUGUUGACAGCUGUGUAUGAGAUAAGUAUGCAUGGACCACCCAUAAUUGCAGCAUGGAGAAUUGCUUAUUCCCUUUUUGACUCUUAUUGUCCCAAGCAAUUAAGAUUCAGUCAAAUAAACUCAGUUGAAAUAUCUUACUGGAUGCUUAAGCAUGCAAGUGAAUAUCCCGCUGUUUCUGAUUGCUCAGUCUUCGUGCAUACAUUAUCUCAAAUUAGAUCAUAGUUGUCAUUAGAUGGACUGUCAGAUCUUAGAAGUUGUGGCUAAGCAAGGCUCAAGCACUCCUUGGGUACUGUCUUACACCCUAAUGCACCUUUUUCCACAUCAAUCCCAUAGAAACCUAUUUCUUUCUCAGCAAAUUUUUCAGGGGGCCCAAAGUAUUGUCUGGGCAGCUGGCUGCACUACAGGCAACCAAUGGUCAGAAAAUCCAUCAUAUAUUUGUGAAGAGUGAGAUGUAUUCAAAAAGUUUAGCUGUCACAUGCUGUGACACACCCCUUUGAUGGACAGAAGAGUUAGACACAGGGAGAUGCGAGAAUUCCGGAAUAUUCCGUUAUGUAUUUUAUAAGAGUGAGACUAAAGAGAUAGCGGACAUUGCAAAAAUAAAUAAAACAGCUUUGCCUUUCACCCUCACGGGAUCUGUGUAAGAAUAAUAAACCAACACAAUCAACUAAAAUAACAAAGACAAAAAAACCAAAAUUACAAAACAGCUGUUUUCUGUUUUCCUGUGUCUAUCUCAGGUUGUGAAUUCCUUGGUCACAGACAACUUCCCAGAGGAAAGCACACUUUAAACACCUGGACUAAUUAUUGAUGCACUCCAGGUGUGUGUGCCUAUUUAACCAGCAGGUGUGGUCCUCUGAUUGCCCUGAACCACUCCCACAAACCGAGCCCUGCCACAUUAGCCUUAAACCAACAUAUUUGCCCUGGAUUGUGAAGAGUACAGCAAACACUUACCCUGAUUGAUUAUUCAUUACUCCCUGCACAGAUGAGAAAAAAAAAACCAUCAGUCCUUCGUGCCCUAGCACAGGUUAUGCUGCAACAAAAGCUGCCAGGACUUUGUGUUGGUCGGGUCUGAGACCUAGAUUACAGGCAUUGAAUCAAGACAACUGCUUCUGUCAUUCGAAGGUCACAGCUUGUCCUUGGGAGUGCUGUGCUGGAAUCGAUUCGGGCAGAGUUAUUAGUCUUGGUCAGGGUCUCCUGACAUUGGCAAUGGGAUGCUUCACAUCGGGGACCAUCGCUCAAGCUUCCAUUCCUUUCCAAGGAUUCCAUCAUGCAGUUUCCGGAAGGUCACAAAGCGGGCCAAUCUCAGCUGGCGGUCCAUCGACUGUAGAUAUCCCAUUGGUCCUCUCCACUCUGUGCUGUGCCUUCCGCCUUAUCUGUAAUUGCCCAGGCCACACUGCACUGCUGACUGUUUCUAGAAGCUUCCACUUGACCAGCUGUUCUUGCAAGGACAUAGUCUCUUGGCCCCCUAUACACUAAAAAAGUUCUUACUCUUCCUUGUAUCAGGCUUGCCUGCCCACUCUCUGUGGUCAAGGUGCACACGCUAGGUCUAACACUGUUAGAGUGCAUGGAUUUACAUCCUGCUAUGUGUCCUGAGUCCAAGGCUUAAUUACUGCUUCCUGGUAGAAUGCAUAGAUUCACUACCUGCUUCCUCUUUGAGAACAUGGGUUAAUUACUGCUUCCUGUUAGAGUGCAUAGAUUAUCUCCCAAAUUCCUUUUAGACUACAUGGAUUAUCUUUCUAUUUCCUGUUGGAACAUGUGGAUGGGUUGACCCUCUGUCAUAGUUGUCUCCAUUGCAGUGAAGUUUAACUAGAGAUGAGCUCUCUCAAGCCAUCACUGAUUCACUGGCACAUUUAGUCUUAUCUUAUUGACUCCAGAACAAUCACCCAAUGCGUUUUCAUGUGCUCUCUCUCCUCACCAGAUCCCAUAUUCUGUUAAGCUGAUGCCCAUUUGAAAAGUGACUAUUUAACUUGAUUUAUGAUCAUAUAGACACAUUUUUCAUUAACUGAACCUUCAUAAUAUCUGCCCUUACGAUUUCAUUUUAGAAUGUAUAAGUAAAUAUAAGGUAGUUUAACAGCAAGAAAAGCUGUAUCUCUCUCCCAUGGGCACUGAAGAAAUUGCGACAUCAAUAAAGUGUGUAUGGAGGGGCCAUAACAGUAGAAUUUAUGAGAACAAAUUAAUUGCUGGGUAAAGGGCAGACAAAAGUCGGAAGCUCAAAAGACAGAAAUAGCAGGAAGAAAAGGCCUUUGGGCAUUAUGUAGCUUGAAAGAGAACAAACAGGAUGUGCCUUUCUUCCAUGCACCAAUUAAAAAAGAUUUUGCUGAAUAUUAUUCCUCUAUAUGAAUUACAGCGAGAAACUAGAGCAGACAUUUAUGAAUGUGCCAAGUUAAGAGUUAUUAGAGACAAGCAAGCACUUCAACGACAUCCCCGUCUGCUUCACUUUAGUAGAAAUGGAAGAGAGGGAAUAAAAUUGACACAUAGGAUGUUUGUGUUGACAUAGCUGUAUUGAAAAUGUUUUUUGUUUAAAUAAUCAUAAACAUUUCUGUAGUGCAAUCAUAUGCCAUGUAAUAUGCACAUAGUGUUUGCACUGUUAAAACCUCCUGUGAUGUUAUAUUGUCAAUUACCCUUAUGUACUUUUUUCUUGUUUAACACAUUAUUUUGUGUUUUAUUUCAAAUGCAAAGUAAAAUAUGGGUUAUGUAAGACUUCUUCAGACAUUUUUAUUUCCCUUUUAUCGUACCCUAUAUUUUUAUUAAUAUUAAUUAAAAUUGUAAUUGCAUUGCU
Anguilla rostrata (American eel) is the source of this 4396-nucleotide long non-coding RNA. RefSeq lists it as uncharacterized. The record is from RefSeq and is a predicted model, not a curated record. The transcript has 3 exons. NCBI's taxonomy places the organism in Eukaryota, Metazoa, Chordata, Actinopteri, Anguilliformes, Anguillidae.